RNAcentral lists this ribosomal RNA (446 nucleotides) under uncultured bacterium. Its description in RNAcentral is "partial 16S ribosomal RNA". It matches the Rfam family "Bacterial small subunit ribosomal RNA", at positions 354 to 796 of the family's 1533-position model. The record is from RNAcentral.
GUGGGGAAUAUUGGACAAUGGGGGGAACCCUGAUCCAGCCAUGCCGCGUGGAGGAAGACUGCCCUCUGGGUUGUAAACUCCUUUUAUAUGGGAAGAACCGUCCUCAUUAAUGAGUGACCUGACGGUACCAUAGGAAUAAGCACCGGCUAACUCCGUGCCAGCAGCCGCGGUAAUACGGAGGGUGCAAGCGUUAUCCGGAUUCACUGGGUUUAAAGGGUGCGUAGGCGGAUAAAUAAGUCAGUGGUGAAAUCAACGGGCUCAACCUGUUACCUGCCAUUGAUACUGUGUAUCUUGAAUAUGAGAGAGGUAGGCGGAAUGUUGCAUGUAGCGGUGAAAUGCUUAGAUAUGCUACGGAACACCGAUUGCGAAGGCAGCUUACUAUUUCGUAAUUGACGCUGAGGCACGAAAGCGUGGGUAGCGAACAGGAUUAGAAACCCGAGUAGUCC